GCGAGUGAAGCGGGAAGAGCUCAAAUUUGUAAUCUGGCGUCCUUCGGGCGUCCGAGUUGUAAUCUAUAGAAGUGUUUUCCGUGCCGGACCAUGUCCAAGUCCCUUGGAACAGGGUAUCAAAGAGGGUGACAAUCCCGUACUUGACAUGACCACCGGUGCUCUGUGAUACACUUUCUACGAGUCGAGUUGUUUGGGAAUGCAGCUCAAAAUGGGUGGUAAAUUCCAUCUAAAGCUAAAUAUUGGCGAGAGACCGAUAGCGAACAAGUACCGUGAGGGAAAGAUGAAAAGCACUUUGGAAAGAGAGUUAAACAGUACGUGAAAUUGUUGAAAGGGAAACGAUUGAAGUCAGUCGUGUUCUUUGGACUCAGCCGGUUCUUCCGGUCUAUUUCCUUUGAACGGGUCAACAUCAGUUUUGUCCGGUGGAUAAAGGCAGGAAGAAAGUGGCUCCCUCGGGAGUGUUAUAGCUUUCUGUCACAUACACUGGAGGAGACUGAGGACUGCAGCUCGCCUUUUGGCCGGGGUUCGCCCACGUUCGAGCUUAGGAUGUUGACAUAAUGGCUUUAAACGACCC
RNAcentral lists this ribosomal RNA (571 nucleotides) under Vanrija musci. Its description in RNAcentral is "eukaryotic LSU rRNA". It matches the Rfam family "Eukaryotic large subunit ribosomal RNA", at positions 89 to 650 of the family's 3401-position model. Lineage: Eukaryota; Fungi; Basidiomycota; Tremellomycetes; Trichosporonales; Trichosporonaceae. The record is from RNAcentral.